RNAcentral lists this ribosomal RNA (249 nucleotides) under Salmonella enterica. Its description in RNAcentral is "partial 16S ribosomal RNA". It matches the Rfam family "Bacterial small subunit ribosomal RNA", at positions 1 to 246 of the family's 1533-position model. The record is from RNAcentral. Lineage: Bacteria; Pseudomonadati; Pseudomonadota; Gammaproteobacteria; Enterobacterales; Enterobacteriaceae.
AAAUUGAAGAGUUUGAUCAUGGCUCAGAUUGAACGCUGGCGGCAGGCCUAACACAUGCAAGUCGAACGGUAACAGGAAGCAGCUUGCUGCUUUGCUGACGAGUGGCGGACGGGUGAGUAAUGUCUGGGAAACUGCCUGAUGGAGGGGGAUAACUACUGGAAACGGUGGCUAAUACCGCAUAACGUCGCAAGACCAAAGAGGGGGCCCUUCGGGCCUCUUGCCAUCAGAUGUGCCCAGAUGGGAUUAGCU